RNAcentral lists this small RNA (17 nucleotides) under Arabidopsis thaliana (thale cress). Its description in RNAcentral is "ATSL072620". The record is from RNAcentral. Lineage: Eukaryota; Viridiplantae; Streptophyta; Magnoliopsida; Brassicales; Brassicaceae.
AGGGGAUAUGGAGGAAG